Long non-coding RNA from Lagopus leucura (white-tailed ptarmigan), 283 nucleotides. RefSeq lists it as uncharacterized. NCBI's taxonomy places the organism in Eukaryota, Metazoa, Chordata, Aves, Galliformes, Phasianidae. The record is from RefSeq and is a predicted model, not a curated record. The transcript has 3 exons.
GAGAGAAAAGCCAUUUAGCAAAUCAAGAACAAAAAUACAAUCUAUGUUUGAAGAGCUGCAGGGAGCUGGAGGAAAAUUGGCUCUUGUGAUGAAGCAUUAUUCAGUCCAUCACACAUGUGAACUCCAAUUUUGCCCCUGAGGGCUGCAAAAUCCAGUUGGCAACUGUAUGGAGAUUCAUAUGGAAAACUAUCCUGGCUUUUUCUUCUUAACUCUCUAUAGGACCAUCCAUUUUGUAUCUUGAGUACUGCUGCAGUUUCUCUUGGAAGUCAUAAUUUGGACAUGC